Molecule: non-coding RNA, 524 nt
Organism: Paramuricea clavata
Lineage: Eukaryota; Metazoa; Cnidaria; Anthozoa; Malacalcyonacea; Plexauridae
Source: the annotation of a GenBank genome assembly
AGGAUUUAUCGGUUUUGAAAGAUGUUCCAUCUUUAUUGUCAUUGACAAAUGAAAAACUGCCUUUGAAUUAUAAAUUGCCAAAGGAAUGUGUUUAUCUGCCGGGCUUCCACCUUCACUCGAAUUCCAAGUUGCACACGGAUGCAAGGAGGCAGAUUCGCCAUUUUAUGAAAAGCCAGAAAGCAAAAGACGCAGACUGAUUGCUGUUCCACAUUGACUAUAAGUAUAUCACGAACGGUUUUUAUAACAGCUUAUAUAAUUAAUUCUAGGUUUCGUUUUGGAUACAUCCAAAACCAUUUUCAUAAUCACUUACAGAAAAUUGGUCGAUUAGUCUCCAUAUUCUUAUCAAAUUGGUUUUGGACACACCCAAACAAUUUUCGUAAACUGUGAAACCGCCAAAUUUAUUUGCAUUUGUCUAGGAUUGGUUUUGGAUGCAUCCAAAACCAUUUUCAUUGGCGCUAAAAUCUGUAAAAUGAUUUCCAUUUUCCAAUAGGAUUGGUUUUGGACGCAUCCAAAACCAUUCUCAU